This 910-nucleotide ribosomal RNA is filed under the name uncultured cyanobacterium. RNAcentral describes it as "bacterial SSU rRNA". It matches the Rfam family "Bacterial small subunit ribosomal RNA", at positions 53 to 999 of the family's 1533-position model. The record is from RNAcentral. Lineage: Bacteria; Bacillati; Cyanobacteriota.
CCAUGCAAGUCGAACGGAGUUCUUCGGAACUUAGUGGCGGACGGGUGAGUAANACGNUGAAGAACCUACCUUCAGAAUGGGGACAACAGUUGGAAACGACUGCUAAUACCCAAUGUGCCGAAAGGUGAAAGAUUUAUCGUCUGAAGAUGGGCUCGCGUCUGAUUAGCUAGAUGGUGGGGUAAGAGCCUACCAUGGCAACGAUCAGUAGCUGGUCUGAGAGGAUGAGCAGCCACACUGGGACUGAGACACGGCCCAGACUCCUACGGGAGGCAGCAGUGGGGAAUUUUCCGCAAUGGGCGAAAGCCUGACGGAGCAAUACCGCGUGAGGGAGGAAGGUCCUUGGAUUGUAAACCUCUUUUAUCAGGGAAGAAGUUCUGACGGUACCUGAUUAAUAAGCAUCGGCUAACUCCGUGCCAGCAGCCGCGGUAAUACGGAGGAUGCAAGCGUUAUCCGGAAUUAUUGGGCGUAAAGCGUCCGUAGGUGGUUAUGCAAGUCUGCCGUUAAAGAAUGGAGCUUAACUCCAUAAGAGCGGUGGAAACUGCAAGACUAGAGUACAGUAGGGGUAGCAGGAAUUCCCAGUGUAGCGGUGAAAUGCGUAGAUAUUGGGAAGAACAUCGGUGGCGAAAGCGUGCUACUGGGCUGAAACUGACACUGAGGGACGAAAGCUAGGGUAGCGAAAGGGAUUAGAUACCCCUGUAGUCCUAGCCGUAAACGAUGGAUACUAGGCGUGGCUUGUAUCGACCCGAGCCGUGCCGAAGCUAACGCGUUAAGUAUCCCGCCUGGGGAGUACGCACGCAAGUGUGAAACUCAAAGGAAUUGACGGGGGGCCCGCACAAGCGGUGGGAGUAUGUGGUUUAAUUCGAUGCAACGCGAAGAACCUUUACCAAGGCUUGACAUCCCCUGGAAUCCU